CUACGUAGGUGGCAAGCGUUGUCCGGAAUUAUUGGGCGUAAAGCGCGCGCAGGCGGCUUCUUAAGUCUGAUGUGAAAGCCCACGGCUCAACCGUGGAGGGUCAUUGGAAACUGGGAGGCUUGAGUGCAGAAGAGGAGAGCGGAAUUCCACGUGUAGCGGUGAAAUGCGUAGAGAUGUGGAGGAACACCAGUGGCGAAGGCGGCUCUCUGGUCUGUAACUGACGCUGAGGCGCGAAAGCGUGGGGAGCGAACAGGAUUAGAUACCCUGGUAGUCCACGCCGUAAACGAUGAGUGCUAAGUGUUGGAGGGUUUCCGCCCUUCAGUGCUGCAGCUAACGCAUUAAGCACUCCGCCUGGGGAGUACGGCCGCAAGGCUGGA
Molecule: ribosomal RNA, 377 nt
Filed under: uncultured bacterium
Lineage: Bacteria
Description: bacterial SSU rRNA
Rfam family: Bacterial small subunit ribosomal RNA
Source: RNAcentral